This 774-nucleotide ribosomal RNA is filed under the name Staphylococcus epidermidis. RNAcentral's name for it is "bacterial SSU rRNA". It matches the Rfam family "Bacterial small subunit ribosomal RNA", at positions 58 to 817 of the family's 1533-position model. The record is from RNAcentral. Lineage: Bacteria; Bacillati; Bacillota; Bacilli; Caryophanales; Staphylococcaceae.
CAAGUCGAGCGAACAGACGAGGAGCUUGCUCCUCUGACGUUAGCGGCGGACGGGGCGUAACACGUGGAUAACCUACCUAUAAGACUGGGAUAACUUCGGGAAACCGGAGCUAAUACCGGAUAAUAUAUUGAACCGCAGGUUCAAUAGUGAAAGACGGUUUUGCUGUCACUUAUAGAUGGAUCCGCGCCGCAUAGCUAGUUGGUAAGGUAACGGCUUACCAAGGCAACGAUGCGUAGCCGACCUGAGAGGGUGAUCGGCCACACUGGAACUGAGACACGGUCCAGACUCCUACGGGAGGCAGCAGUAGGGAAUCUUCCGCAAUGGGCGAAAGCCUGACGGAGCAACGCCGCGUGAGUGAUGAAGGUCUUCGGAUCGUAAAACUCUGUUAUUAGGGAAGAACAAAUGUGUAAGUAACUAUGCACGUCUUGACGGUACCUAAUCAGAAAGCCACGGCUAACUACGUGCCAGCAGCCGCGGUAAUACGUAGGUGGCAAGCGUUAUCCGGAAUUAUUGGGCGUAAAGCGCGCGUAGGCGGUUUUUUAAGUCUGAUGUGAAAGCCCACGGCUCAACCGUGGAGGGUCAUUGGAAACUGGAAAACUUGAGUGCAGAAGAGGAAAGUGGAAUUCCAUGUGUAGCGGUGAAAUGCGCAGAGAUAUGGAGGAACACCAGUGGCGAAGGCGACUUUCUGGUCUGUAACUGACGCUGAUGUGCGAAAGCGUGGGGAUCAAACAGGAUUAGAUACCCUGGUAGUCCACGCCGUAAACGAUGAGUGCU